This 782-nucleotide long non-coding RNA is filed under the name Ananas comosus (pineapple). Its description in RNAcentral is "long non-coding RNA (ACOM_LNC018846)". The record is from RNAcentral. Lineage: Eukaryota; Viridiplantae; Streptophyta; Magnoliopsida; Poales; Bromeliaceae.
UCUCUUUGUUGUACUUUUUUGAGAAAAAAUGCUUUAUAUUGUCGGAUCGUUGGCGCUAACCAUUAAUCCCAGAAGCUCGAGCUGUUAGAAAUACGCAACCAAUUCACUUAAAGAAUACAGAUACAGCGCCCACGGCUCUCGAUUGUGACUCGUCCCAACCAGUCUUACGCCAUUUCGAAUAUGACUCGGCCCAACCCAGCCUCACGCCAUUUCGAAUAUGAUUCGGCUCACAUGGCCUUCCGCCACAGGACAAGAUGCUAGCCCAUUUAAGCCGCUCUCAAUUGUGACUCGAUUAUGACUCGGCCAACCAGCCUUACACCAUUUCGAACAUUACUCGGCCCUACCCAGCCUCACGCCAUUUCGAACAUGACUCAGCCCACAUAGCCUCCCGCCACAGGAUAAGAUGCUGGCCCAUUUAAGCCAACAAUCCCCCCUUCAGCACCUGUACAUAUAUUUACAAUAUACGGGAAUCGAAUCCGUGACCAUUGGCUCUGAUACCACUUGUCGGAUCGUUGGCGCUAACCAUUAAUUCCAAAAGCUCGGGCUGUUAGAAAUAUGCAACCAAUUCACUUAAAGCGUACAGAUACAACGCCCACGGCUCUCGAUUGUGACUCGGUCCAACCAACCUCACGGCCCUCACACCAUUUCGAACAUGACUCGGCCCAACCCAGCCUCACGCUAUUUCGAACAUGACUCGAUCCACAUGCCUCCCACCACAGGACAAUAUGCUGACUCAUUUAAACCAACAGAUAUUUUGUGCUAUUACUCUUUUUUCUUUUUUU